UCUAAUGCCGCAUAUGAUCUUCGGAUUAAAGGAUUUAUCCGCUUUGGGAGUGGCCUGCGUAUGAUUAGAUAGUUGGUGAGGUAAUGGUUCACCAAGUCUACGAUCAUUAACUGGUCUGAGAGAAUGAUCAGUCAGACUGGAACUGAGACACGGUCCAGACUCCUACGGGAGGCAGCAGUGAGGAAUCUUCCACAAUGGGCGAAAGCCUGAUGGAGCGACGCCGCGUGCAGGAUGAAGGCCUUCGGGUUGUAAACUGCUUUUAUAAGUGAAGAAUAUGACGGUAACUUAUGAAUAAGCACCGGCUAACUACGUGCCAGCAGCCGCGGUCAUACGUAGGGUGCAAGCAUUAUCCGGAGUGAC
This 360-nucleotide ribosomal RNA is filed under the name uncultured bacterium. RNAcentral's name for it is "bacterial SSU rRNA". It matches the Rfam family "Bacterial small subunit ribosomal RNA", at positions 162 to 554 of the family's 1533-position model. The record is from RNAcentral.